GCCCUUAUAGCUCAGUGGUAGAGCGCAUCACUAGUACAAUUGCUUACGUAAGCAAAGGACAUGAUGAGGUCCUCUGUUCGAUCCAGGGUGAGGGCA
Molecule: transfer RNA, 96 nt
Filed under: Rhizoctonia solani
Lineage: Eukaryota; Fungi; Basidiomycota; Agaricomycetes; Cantharellales; Ceratobasidiaceae
Description: tRNA-Thr
Rfam family: tRNA
About the family: Transfer RNA (tRNA) molecules are approximately 80 nucleotides in length. Their secondary structure includes four short double-helical elements and three loops (D, anti-codon, and T loops).
Source: RNAcentral